AUUGAACGCUGGCGGCAUGCCUUACACAUGCAAGUCGAACAGCAGCACGGGUGCUUGCACCUGGUGGCGAGUGGCGAACGGGUGAGUAAUACAUCGGAACAUGUCCUGUAGUGGGGGAUAGCCCGGCGAAAGCCGGAUUAAUACCGCAUACGAUCUACGGAUGAAAGCGGGGGACCUUCGGGCCUCGCGCUAUAGGGUUGGCCGAUGGCUGAUUAGCUAGUUGGUGGGGUAAAGGCCUACCAAGGCGACGAUCAGUAGCUGGUCUGAGAGGAGGACCAGCCACACUGGAACUGAGACACGGCCCAGACUCCUACGGGAGGCAGCAGUGGGGAAUUUUGGACAAUGGGCGAAAGCCUGAUCCAGCAAUGCCGCGUGUGUGAAGAAGGCCUUCGGGUUGUAAAGCACUUUUGUCCGGAAAGAAAUCCUUGGCCCUAAUACGGUCGGGGGAUGACGGUACCGGAAGAAUAAGCACCGGCUAACUACGUG
Molecule: ribosomal RNA, 486 nt
Filed under: uncultured bacterium
Lineage: Bacteria
Description: partial 16S ribosomal RNA
Rfam family: Bacterial small subunit ribosomal RNA
Source: RNAcentral